UACCUGCAGCUCAAGUGGUGGCCGUUAUUAUUGGGCCUAAAACGUCCGUAGCCGGUUUAUUAAAUGCCUGGGUAAAUCGGGCCGCUUAACGGUUCGAAUUCCGGGUAGACUGAUAGACUUGGGACCGGGAGAAGCUAGAGGUACUCCUGGGGUAGAGGUGAAAUUCUGUAAUCCUAGGGGGACCACCAGUGGCGAAGGCGUCUAGCUAGAACGGGUCUGACGGUGAGGGACGAAGCCCUGGGGCGCAAACCGGAUUAGAUACCCGGGUAGUCCAGGGUGUAAACGCUGCUUGCUUGAUGUUAGUCGGGCUCCGAGCCCGAUUAGUGUCGGAGAGAAGUUGUUAAGCAAGCUGCCUGGGAAGUACGGCCGCAAGACUGAAACUUAAAGGAAUUGGCGGGGAGCACAGCAACGGGUGGAGCGUGCGGUUU
RNAcentral lists this ribosomal RNA (428 nucleotides) under uncultured archaeon. RNAcentral describes it as "bacterial SSU rRNA". It matches the Rfam family "Archaeal small subunit ribosomal RNA", at positions 474 to 903 of the family's 1478-position model. The record is from RNAcentral.